GACGAACGCUGGCGGCGUGCCUAAUACAUGCAAGUAGAACGCUGAAGGAGGAGCUUGCUUCUCCGGAUGAGUUGCGAACGGGUGAGUAACGCGUAGGUAACCUGCCUGGUAGCGGGGGAUAACUAUUGGAAACGAUAGCUAAUACCGCAUAAGAGUAGAUGUCGCAUGACAUUUGCUUAAAAGGUGCAACUGCACCACUACCAGAUGGACCUGCGUUGUAUUAGCUAGUUGGUGAGGUAACGGCUCACCAAGGCAACGAUACAUAGCCGACCUGAGAGGGGGAUCGGCCGGACUGGGAGUGAGACACGGCGCAGACUCCUGCGGGAGGGAGCAGUAGGGAAUCUUCGGCAAUGGACGGAAGUCUGACCGAGCAACGCCGCGUGAGUGAAGAAGGUUGUCGGAUCGUAAAGCUCGGUUGUAAGAGAAGAACGAGUGUGAGAGUGGAAAGUUCACACUGUGACGGUAUCUUACCAGAAAGGGACGGCUAACUACGUG
This 495-nucleotide ribosomal RNA is filed under the name uncultured bacterium. Its description in RNAcentral is "partial 16S ribosomal RNA". It matches the Rfam family "Bacterial small subunit ribosomal RNA", at positions 28 to 507 of the family's 1533-position model. The record is from RNAcentral.